ACGGGAAGUAAAAGUCGUAACAAGGUUUUCGUAGGUGAACCUGCGGAAGGAUCAUUACCGAGUUGUGUCUCCCCCGGGAGCCAUCUCCACCCUGUGCGAACUAAAUCUGUUGCUUUGGCGGGCCGCAGCCCCGCUGCCACCGGUGUAUCUGGUGAGCGCCCGCCGGAGGUCUUUUAAAAUCUAUUUUAUAUGACGUCUGAGUAAGAAAAUAAAUGCGAAAAACUUUCAACAACGGAUCUCUUGGUUCUGGCAUCGAUGAAGAACGCAGCGAAAUGCGAUAAGUAAUGUGAAUUGCAGAAUUCCGUGAAUCAUCGAAUCUUUGAACGCACAUUGCGCCCUUUGGUAUUCCGAAGGGCAUGCCUGUUCGAGCGUCAUUUACACUCUCAAGCUCUGCUUGGUAUUGGAGGCCGCCCCGGUGGGGUGCCCCCGAAACACAGCGGCGACGUAGCCGGACUCCCUGGCGUAGUGACUUUUUUCGCCGCCCCGGAGUCGUCGGUCUUGCGUUAGCCGGACAACGCCCCAUUUUCUUGAAAUCGACCUCGGAUCAGGUAGGAAUACCCGCUGAACUUAAGCAUAUCAAUAAGCGGAGGA
RNAcentral lists this ribosomal RNA (591 nucleotides) under uncultured Cryptodiscus. RNAcentral describes it as "eukaryotic LSU rRNA". The stretch from base 221 to 374 matches the Rfam family "5.8S ribosomal RNA". Lineage: Eukaryota; Fungi; Ascomycota; Lecanoromycetes; Ostropales; Stictidaceae. The record is from RNAcentral.